ACUCCUGCUAGAUACUUUCUUGCCCAGCCUCUUUGGAUAAAAAUAUUUGAUACCAAACUUUUGGGUUUCUGUUUUGGAUUAAUUAUGUCCGCCCUUCUAACCCUUGAGUAUACUUGAUUGGAUAACUGGCUCAUGAUACCCGAUUGGGCUACAAUCAUUACUAAUGUCAUCAAGUAUUCAUGUUGUUGUAACUAUUUGGCAUAUACAAUUAUCUUUACACAUUCUGGUUAAAAGGUUAGUUUGCUGUUAUUUUUCUUUUUCUUUAGGAGUGGCGUUAGGUAUUUCUUGUUUGCUAAUCGAUUUGUUCAGUUGGACGUUAUUGGUGAUUUUUUUUCUCUGUUUCAAAUUUAUACCUAUUGAUUUCUUUGUUGUGGACAUCAUAUUGUUAUUAGGUUGGUUGCACAUGGUGUAUGAGGGAUUUGAUUUCGG
RNAcentral lists this long non-coding RNA (429 nucleotides) under Nicotiana benthamiana. Its description in RNAcentral is "long non-coding RNA (NBEN_LNC007211)". Lineage: Eukaryota; Viridiplantae; Streptophyta; Magnoliopsida; Solanales; Solanaceae. The record is from RNAcentral.